Molecule: ribosomal RNA, 693 nt
Filed under: Wolbachia endosymbiont of Encarsia inaron
Lineage: Bacteria; Pseudomonadati; Pseudomonadota; Alphaproteobacteria; Rickettsiales; Anaplasmataceae
Description: bacterial SSU rRNA
Rfam family: Bacterial small subunit ribosomal RNA
Source: RNAcentral
AUACGCCCUACGGGGGAAAAAUUUAUUGCUAUUAGAUGAGCCUAUAUUAGAUUAGCUAGUUGGUGGGGUAAUAGCCUACCAAGGUAAUGAUCUAUAGCUGAUCUGAGAGGAUGAUCAGCCACACUGGAACUGAGAUACGGUCCAGACUCCUACGGGAGGCAGCAGUGGGGAAUAUUGGACAAUGGGCGAAAGCCUGAUCCAGCCAUGCCGCAUGAGUGAAGAAGGCCUUUGGGUUGUAAAGCUCUUUUAGUGAGGAAGAUAAUGACGGUACUCACAGAAGAAGUCCUGGCUAACUCCGUGCCAGCAGCCGCGGUAAUACGGAGAGGGCUAGCGUUAUUCGGAAUUAUUGGGCGUAAAGGGCGCGUAGGCUGGUUAAUAAGUUAAAAGUGAAAUCCCGAGGCUUAACCUUGGAAUUGCUUUUAAAACUAUUAAUCUAGAGAUUGAAAGAGGAUAGAGGAAUUCCUGAUGUAGAGGUAAAAUUCGUAAAUAUUAGGAGGAACACCAGUGGCGAAGGCGUCUAUCUGGUUCAAAUCUGACGCUGAAGCGCGAAGGCGUGGGGAGCAAACAGGAUUAGAUACCCUGGUAGUCCACGCUGUAAACGAUGAAUGUUAAAUAUGGGGAGUUUACUUUCUGUAUUACAGCUAACGCGUUAAACAUUCCGCCUGGGGGACUACGGUCGCAAGAAUUAAAACC